Molecule: ribosomal RNA, 277 nt
Filed under: uncultured eukaryote
Lineage: Eukaryota
Description: partial 18S ribosomal RNA
Rfam family: Eukaryotic small subunit ribosomal RNA
Source: RNAcentral
UAGUCAUAUGCUUGUCUCAAAGACUAAGCCAUGCAUGUCUAAGUAUAAACUACUUUAUACGGUGAAACUGCGAAUGGCUCAUUAAAACAGUUAUAGUUUAUUUGAUAGUACCUUACUACUUGGAUAACCGUAGUAAUUCUAGAGCUAAUACAUGCGCAAAAACCCGACUUUUCGGAAGGGUUGUAUUUAUUAGAUACAAAACCAAUACGGCGCAAGCCGUUUUGUGGUGAUUCAUAAUAACUGAUCGAAUCGCAGUGCCUUCGGGCGGCGAUGAAUC